AGUGUACUUUUGCUUUUUUUGUUGUUUUUUAGAGAAGGGGUCUCACUAUGUUGUCUGGAGUGCUGUGGUGGAGUGGAGUGGCUAUUCACAGAGCCUGUUCUGCUGGGACACAGAAUCACUUGCUCCAUCUCAUACAUUGAUGAUGAUUAAUUUGUAUGUGUACCUUCCAAAAAAGAUGGUUGUGUUUGAAUGGAGGCCUUCUGGACAGGAAAAUUGCAAAGUACAAUUAACAUUUGAGUCUGUCUGAGUCAUGAAGAAAUGGAGAUUACUGAAAAUAAUUCAUUUUGGUAUCUUCUUACAUCCUGAGAGACUAAUCUUUCCAAGUUCAUCUGAGGCUCCUCUUCUCCAUGACAACCUCAUCCAGGGAUUUCUUCCUGUCCUGGUGUUUUAUGACAUAAUCACAUCCUUCCUGAGAUAAUGAGCACACAAUUGCCUGGAUACCUGAAGGAAUGGAGACAGCGGCAGAAAACACUGCAGAGAGGUGGAAACAUCCGUUAAUAUUUUAAAAUCCCAUUACUGCUACCAACAAUAAUAAUGGAUGCAUAGAAAUAGAUCUGGAUUAGCUGAGCUUGAAACAGUCCAUCUCACACACACACAAAAGAAUUUCAGAUACAGUGAACCCACAUGUUGAAGCUUUCUAGUAUAAUAAAAAUUUCAACUGUUCUGUUGAAUCAUCUGCCUGAUUGGAGGCUACAGAAAAGAUGUCAUCUUAGGAGUGCUUGCUCUGAGUGAGGCUCAUCUUCAAAUCUGAAUGACCACAAGGAGAUUUGAUUAUACAUGUGAACACCUCAGAAGGCACAGCCCACCCAGAAGGCAGACAGGUCAGGCUGCUUUUUCUUCAUUGCUUGGAUUCAAUCCUCCGGGCGGCUCAGGCUCAAACAUAACUUAAGCAUGAUUAAACUUUAGAAGAAGCUGCCAGGAAGACUGUGAAAUCUUCAUGCCCAAGGAUCCCUAAAAUUAGGAGCAACAACCACUUGGCUCAGACGGUUUAUGGAGGCAAAGGUUUGGAUGGGAUUAGAGAUUUCUAAAUGUGAGUUCGUGUCCUCUGCCAGACCACCUUACUUCCACCAUUCCUCAGCAAAUCAAGAAAAACAGGAGAAAAGACAUGCCUUUCCAUAAGUUAAAUCUAUUCUGUUUUAAUUCUAUAUUAUAUCUGCUGUACAACUUCUUUUGUUUGUAACACCAUAUUGUUGCUAGUAACUGGAAAUUAAUUUUCACAUGCCUCAGCUUAGAAAAAUAAAAAGCAGCCCUGCA
Molecule: long non-coding RNA, 1254 nt
Filed under: Homo sapiens (human)
Lineage: Eukaryota; Metazoa; Chordata; Mammalia; Primates; Hominidae
Description: long intergenic non-protein coding RNA 635
Source: RNAcentral